GUGGCUUUCAGGUAGUGUUGGGUUAAAAUCUGCAGCAGGGGUGUAAAUUUAAUUUUUUAUCGGGUGUAUUUAUAGUCUGUGUUUGGGUGUAUUAUGCAGAUCUCUAUGCAGACCGUCAUAUAUGGGUUCCAAUCUAUCUGGAUCACCACUUCAUAUUAUAGUACCUGUAAAUCAGACAUUUUGAAUACACCAGAGAGAGUUUAAUUAA
Molecule: long non-coding RNA, 208 nt
Organism: Arachis duranensis
Lineage: Eukaryota; Viridiplantae; Streptophyta; Magnoliopsida; Fabales; Fabaceae
Exons: 2
Source: RefSeq, a predicted model, not a curated record